UGCUCACUGGGGCAGCAUUCUAAAAUUGGAAUGAGACAGAGCGGAUUAGCAUGGCCCCUGUGCAAGGAUGACAUAAAUCCAAGAAAUAUUCUCUAUUUUU
This is a small nuclear RNA of Ictidomys tridecemlineatus (thirteen-lined ground squirrel), 100 nucleotides long. The record is from Ensembl. Lineage: Eukaryota; Metazoa; Chordata; Mammalia; Rodentia; Sciuridae.